UGUGCUGUAUGGACCAUGUAAGCCUGAGUGGCUGAAGAAUUAUUUCCAGCAAUGGAGAGAGUUCUCACUAGAGAAUGAAGCCAAAUAACUGAAAACAGAGGUGAAAGGUUUGAGUUACUGGUAACCAGCUGUGGUCCAGAAGCAGGUGAUCCUCCUUGUGAUGUAUCAUCAGAAGGCCAAUAUAGCCUAAUGCUGUAUCACAAUGCAUGUGUCUUUUACCUCACUUCAUCAGAAAAAAGAAAAGAAGAAGAAAAAUAUGCUACCAUGGUAUACCUCCUGACCUAGAGUGACACCCUUAUAAAUCAUGACAUCAUGAACAGAAAACUAGCAGUGGUUUCAACUCCAAACUCCAAACUGGAAGUCUUGUAGCUGAUCCUCUACAUUUGGCUGCUGAUUUGUAACUGAGCUGCUUCUCACAUGGACAAUUAUAUAUAUAUACAUUGUGCUCCACAGGUUGAGAGACUUGCUUAUUUAAUGAUGGUUAAUAAUGUUCUCAAGGAAAACCAGGGAUUCCAAGAUGAAUGUCUGGUUUGCCUAUUUCAUAGAGGAUACUAUUGAGAAAAUACUGAUCAGGAAGGAGUGAGGGAAUCUCUGCAUACAGG
Molecule: long non-coding RNA, 602 nt
Organism: Herpailurus yagouaroundi (jaguarundi)
Lineage: Eukaryota; Metazoa; Chordata; Mammalia; Carnivora; Felidae
Exons: 4
Source: RefSeq, a predicted model, not a curated record